This 450-nucleotide ribosomal RNA is filed under the name uncultured bacterium. RNAcentral describes it as "partial 16S ribosomal RNA". It matches the Rfam family "Bacterial small subunit ribosomal RNA", at positions 338 to 795 of the family's 1533-position model. The record is from RNAcentral.
CCUACGGGGGGCAGCAGUCGAGAAUCUUUCACAAUGGGGGCAACCCUGAUGGAGCGACGCCGCGUGGAGGAUAAGGUCUUCGGAUUGUACACUCCUGUCAUGCGAGAACAAGGUUGCAGGGCUAACACCUUUGCAAAUUGAUGGUACCGCAAGAGGAAGAGACGGCUAACUCUGUGCCAGCAGCCGCGGUCAUACAGAGGUCUCAAGCGUUGUUCGGAAGGGCUGGGAGGUGGCGGGGCGUAUCAGGCGUGAAAGCCCGGGGCUCAACCUCGGAAUUGCAUCCGAUACUGCCAUGCUGGAGUACUGAAGAGGUGACUAGAAUUCUAGGUGUAGCAGUGAAAUGCGUAGAUAUCUAGAGGAAUACCAACGGCGAAGGCAGGUCACUGGGCAGUUACUGACACUGAGGCACGAAGGCCAGGGGAGCAAACGGGAUUAGAUACCCCAGUAGUC